RNAcentral lists this long non-coding RNA (1689 nucleotides) under Salmo salar (Atlantic salmon). Its description in RNAcentral is "lncRNA (ENSSSAG00000113154.1)". Lineage: Eukaryota; Metazoa; Chordata; Actinopteri; Salmoniformes; Salmonidae. The record is from RNAcentral.
GCAGGACCUGGAUUAACCUCUACAUCACCAGAGGAACAGAGGAGAAGUAGGAUAAGGAGAGGUUGGAAAAAUUAACACAAGGCCUACAGUUGUUCACAUCGCUACAACAGAUGAUUUGUGUGAUCAGGUAAGAAGGCAGGGUUCCUCUUUAAACUAACUACAACUUAUAAAGGCUUUAUAUAACAUACAUAAAGUAUUUAAGCACUACAUAGAUGAUUCACAAGUCAUCUUAAGCUGUUUUCGACUCUCUCUCUCUCUACCGCACCUGCUGUCUCGAACUCUGAAUGCUCGGCUAUGAAAAGCCAACUGACAUUUACUCCUGAGGUGUUGACCUGUUGCACCCUCUGUAGCACCCUCUACAACCACUGUGAUUAUUAUUAUUUGACCCUGCUGGUCAUCUAUGAACGUUUGAACAUCUUGGCCAUGUACUGUUAUAAUCUCCACCCGGCACAGCCAGAAGAGGACUGGCCACCCCUCACAACCUGGUUCCUCUCUAGGUUUCUUCCUAGGUUCUGGCCUUUCUAGGGAGUUUUUCCUAGCCACCGUGCUUAGGAUCUGCAUUUCUUGCUGUUUGAGGAUUUAGGCUGGGUUUCUGUACAGCACUUUGAGAUAUCAGCUGAUGUAAAAAGGGCUUUAUAAAUCAAUUUGAUUGAUUGAUUGAUUAUGUCAUACUCUAUAAAGGGUGAAAUAACAGCUCACUAUAGGAUCCAUUACCAAACGUGACAUAACAUUUUGUCGAUAAAAUACAACUGUGCUUUAUAAAGGGUGACAUAAUGCAUGAUUACUAAGAUACAAUGCUGUAUGAAACUACUUAUAGAUAGAGCUUUAUAUUGUACUGUAUAUAUAGACAUAACUGUUUAUGUUUACUGGCUAGGUUUUCUCAGUGAGAUCUGUCUGAGCAGUCCAGAGUCUAAAUCAGACAUUAGACUGUAUGGAGCCUGAGGGAGACCCUGAAGUCAUGAGCAGGAGAUGAGUCAGAGAGUGGGGGAGUCUGAGGGAUAAACAUGAUAAGAAGACGUACCAAAAAUAUGUAAUGUAAUGACUUAUUUUAUAUUUGAUUUAAUGUGUAGUGUAAAACAGGAGAGAGCAGAGUCUCUGGCUCCCGGCUGUCUGCCUAAGAACAGUGACACAUCAAUGGGCCAAGACUUUGCUCUACUUUCCGGCUACCCGGAUAAAGCACUAAAUAAACUUCAGUUAGUGCUAAAUACUGACUAGAACCAAAAAAUUUGAUCAUAUUACUUCAGUGCUAGCCUCCCUACACUGGCUUCCUGUUAAGGCAAGGGCUGAUUUCAAGGUUUUACUGCUAACCUACAAAGCAUUACAUGGGCUUGCUCCUACCUAUCUUUCCGAUUUGGUCCUGCCGUACAUACCUACACGUACGCUACGGUCACAAGACGCAGGCCUCCUAAUUGUCCCUAGAAUUUCUAAGCAAACGGCUGGAGGUAGGGCUUUCUCCUAUUGAGCUCCAUUUUUAUGGAAUGGUCUGCCUACCAAUGUGAGAGACGCAGACUCAGUCUCAACCUUUAAGUCUUUACUGAAGACUUAUCUCUUCAGUAGGUCCUAUGAUUAAGUAUAGUCUGGCCCAGGAGUGUGAAGGUGAACGGAAAGGCUGGAGCAACGAACCGCCCUUGCUGUCUCUGCCUUGCCGGUUCCCCUCUUUCCACUGGGAUUCUCUGCCUCUAACCCUUU